UACGAGGGGGGCAAGCGUUGUUCGGAUUUAUUGGGCGUAAAGGGUGCGUAGGCGGUUUGGCAAGUCUUAUGUGAAAUCUUCGGGCUCAACCCGAAGCCUGCAUAAGAAACUGCCGGGCUUGAGUAUGGGAGAGGUGAGUGGAAUUUCCGGUGUAGCGGUGAAAUGCGUAGAUAUCGGGAGGAACACCAGUGGCGAAGGCGAUCAUCUGGGGUUGUUCUGACACUGAGGAGCGAAAGCUAGGGGAGCAAACGG
Molecule: ribosomal RNA, 252 nt
Filed under: uncultured bacterium
Lineage: Bacteria
Description: partial 16S ribosomal RNA
Rfam family: Bacterial small subunit ribosomal RNA
Source: RNAcentral